AGAGAGAGACAUGCGCGCAUAUCAAUAAGCGGAGGAAAAGAAACUAACAAGGAUUCCCUUAGUAACGGCGAGUGAAGCGGGAAGAGCUCAAAUUUGAAAUCUUCAAGGUUUUACCUUGACGAAUUGUAGUUUAAAGAAGUGUUUUCUGCUGAAGUUUUGGUAAAAGUUCUUUGGAAUAGGACAUCAUAGAGGGUGAGAAUCCCGUAUUUGACCAUUAUUUUCAGCUUUGUGAUACACUUUCAAAGAGUCGGAUUGUUUGGAAAUGCAGUCCAAAAUGGGUGGUAAAUUUCAUCUAAAGCUAAAUAUUGGCGAGAGACCGAUAGCGAACAAGUACCGUGAGGGAAAGAUGAAAAGAACUUUGAAAAGAGAGUUAAACAGUACGUGAAAUUGUCAAAAGGGAAGCGUUUGACACCAGUGUUGUUUUCUCGAAAAUCAAUUAAAAGUGGCUCGAUUUUGUAUUGUUGAGACCUUAAAAGCUCACUGUACAUUUUUCGUGUCUUUUUUAAUGCACUUUUCGUUUAACAAGUCAACAUCAGUUUCUUUUGUUGUAAAAGGGUCAUUGGAAGGUGGCUUUCUUUUCGGAGAAAGUGUUUAUAGCCUUUGGCCUCUGCAAUCGGAAGAGACUGAGGUCUGCAGCGUAGACUCUUCGGGGUUAGAUACAUUUGUGCUAAGUUAUAGCCUUUUCAUAGACAACUUGUUGACUAUAAUUAGUCUUGUAGCUUACUCGCUUAUGCUAUUUUACCUACGCUUAGGAUGUUGAAGAUGUAGCACAUCAU
This 776-nucleotide ribosomal RNA is filed under the name uncultured Neocallimastigales. Its description in RNAcentral is "partial large subunit ribosomal RNA". It matches the Rfam family "Eukaryotic large subunit ribosomal RNA", at positions 23 to 634 of the family's 3401-position model. Lineage: Eukaryota; Fungi; Neocallimastigomycota; Neocallimastigomycetes; Neocallimastigales. The record is from RNAcentral.